CCUCCUUUUAAGCUUUCAUUGUUUGAUGAGCGAGCCCUUCUUCGGAAAGUCUUACAUGUGCAUAAUGUUGAGAGUAUCGGGAACGACAAUGCUUGAUCUUCAUUCUUGCUAGAUUGAGCACUCUAUUGUCUAGCUAUAGGUGGGGGGUGAGAGUUGUGAUUAUGAUUUGGGAGCAAUGAAAAAGGAAAAGAAAUAACUAUUUGUGUUUAAGUGAAUUGUCUUACUGGGAUAAGUAAAAACAAAAAAAAACCUCUAGCUCAAGUUAUGAAAAGUCUUGGCCCCCAUUUAAAAAAAAAAAAAAAAAAAAAAAAAAA
This 314-nucleotide long non-coding RNA is filed under the name Brassica napus (rape). RNAcentral describes it as "long non-coding RNA (BNAP_LNC022482)". Lineage: Eukaryota; Viridiplantae; Streptophyta; Magnoliopsida; Brassicales; Brassicaceae. The record is from RNAcentral.